This 72-nucleotide transfer RNA is filed under the name Phrynosoma platyrhinos (Desert horned lizard). RNAcentral describes it as "tRNA-OTHER". The record is from RNAcentral. Lineage: Eukaryota; Metazoa; Chordata; Lepidosauria; Squamata; Phrynosomatidae.
GCCAGCGUGGUAUAGUGGUUUGAGCACUGGACUAUGACUCUAGAGACCAAGGUUCAAAUCCCCACUCAGCCA